AUAGCGUAUAUUAAAGUUGUUGCGGUUAAAAAGCUCGUAGUUGAAUCUGUGUUUCACACUGUCGGUUCACCGCUCGCGGUGUUUACUGGCAUGAUGUGGGACGUCCUACCGGUGGGCUUAGCCCUUCGGGGCGGUCCAACUAAUAUCCCAUCGCGGUGCUCUUCAUUGAGUGUCGAGAUGGGCCGGUACGUUUACUUUGAACAAAUUAGAGUGCUUAAAGCAGGCUAGCCUCGCCUGAAUACUGUGUGCAUGGAAUAAUGGAAUAGGACCUCGGUUCUAUUUUGUUGGUUUUCGGAACUCCGAGGUAAUGAUUAAUAGGGACAGAUGGGGGCAUUCGUAUUGCGACGUUAGAGGUGAAAUUCUUGGAUCGUNGCAAGACGGACAGAAGCGAAAGCAUUUGCCAAAAAUGUUUUCAUUAAUCAAGAACGAAAGUUAGAGGUUCGAAGGCGAUCAGAUACCGCCCUAGUUCUAACCAUAAACGAUGCCAGCUAGCGAUCCGCCGAAGUUCCUCCGAUGACUCGACGGGCAGCUUCCGGGAAACCAAAGCUUUUGGGUUCCGGGGGAAGUAUGGUUGCAAAGCUGAAACUUAAAGGAAUUGACGGAAGGGCACCACCAGGAGUGGAGCCUGCGGCUUAAUUUGACUCAACACGGGAAACCUCACCAGGCCCGGACACCGGAAGGAUUGACAGAUUGAUAGCUCUUUCUUGAUUCGGUGGGUGGUGGUGCAUGGCCGUUCUUAGUUGGUGGAGCGAUUUGUCUGGUUAAUUCCGAUAACGAACGAGACUCUAGCCUGCUAAAUAGGCGUACAUUCUGGUAUCACGAAGGCCCUCGGCUUCGGUCGAGUGGUUUUUACUACCAACGUACCAACAAAUCUUCUUAGAGGGACAGGCGGCUUUUAGCCGCACGAGAUUGA
RNAcentral lists this ribosomal RNA (913 nucleotides) under Polistes aurifer. RNAcentral's name for it is "SSU rRNA". It matches the Rfam family "Eukaryotic small subunit ribosomal RNA", at positions 594 to 1449 of the family's 1831-position model. Lineage: Eukaryota; Metazoa; Arthropoda; Insecta; Hymenoptera; Vespidae. The record is from RNAcentral.